This is a long non-coding RNA of Cryptomeria japonica (Japanese cedar), 210 nucleotides long. RefSeq lists it as uncharacterized. Lineage: Eukaryota; Viridiplantae; Streptophyta; Pinopsida; Cupressales; Cupressaceae. The record is from RefSeq and is a predicted model, not a curated record. The transcript has 3 exons.
UCAAAAAAAUCAAGAAUAUAUGGUACCGAUUUCUGUUGAUCCUGAGAAGACAACAACAACAAUAGUUGAUGCCAUGCAAGCUAGAGAUGAUGGCCAACAAAACUCUCAAAAAAACAUGCAACCAUUUUCUAUUGAUCUUAAUCAAAUGAUGACAAUAAUGGACACAAUGCAAAGCGGAAACGGUGUUGAUGAUAUUCAUAUGGAGGAUCA